AACGGCAGCUUUGUUUAAUCUUUUCACUGGAUUGUGUUACCUCUGGCAAAUCGGAGAUUGAAUGUGUUUUGAUGGCUGCCUUAAUUUCUUGUCCACAAACGGGGGCAGACUGGCUUGUACAGGCAUUUGCUGUCACGGCCGGGGCGCAUUGGAAUGCGCCCUCAACCUUGCGCGCUGCAAGCACCGCAGGACACGCCCCCACACACGCCGCGCAGACCGCGGCCACGCACUUCCACAGCUGGCGGCAAUCCUCUAUCAGCACACCUGCCGUUAAUGAAGUAGCUGCCUUCAUAAGCGUGGACAACCUGGCAUGCCGCCGCCGGAAUAUAGUCUACUGUACAACCUCCGUUCCCGUGUUUUGACGUUGCUGUGUGUCUCGUCAUUCCUCGUCGUCCCCCUGCUUCUCGGACUGCCCCCUUGGAUCUCGACCUCCCGCUUGGACACGGAUUCCCCUCUUCCCCUGGACUUCCUCAUCUCUCGUUCAACACUUGGUAACACACACUUCAGCUAACUACACACUUAGCCUAACACCACAUACACUUUUGGAUCUAGU
This is a long non-coding RNA of Entelurus aequoreus (snake pipefish), 553 nucleotides long. RefSeq lists it as uncharacterized. The transcript is spliced from 3 exons. Lineage: Eukaryota; Metazoa; Chordata; Actinopteri; Syngnathiformes; Syngnathidae. The record is from RefSeq and is a predicted model, not a curated record.